RNAcentral lists this ribosomal RNA (267 nucleotides) under uncultured bacterium. RNAcentral's name for it is "partial 16S ribosomal RNA". It matches the Rfam family "Bacterial small subunit ribosomal RNA", at positions 336 to 619 of the family's 1533-position model. The record is from RNAcentral.
UUCCUACGGGAGGCAGCAGUCGGGAAUAUUGCGCAAUGGAGGAAACUCUGACGCAGUGACGCCGCGUAUAGGAAGAAGGUUUUCGGAUUGUAAACUAUUGUCAUUAGGGAAGAAAAAAGACAGUACCUAAGGAGGAAGCUCCGGCUAACUACGUGCCAGCAGCCGCGGUAAUACGUAGGGGGCAAGCGUUAUCCGGAUUUACUGGGUGUAAAGGGAGCGCAGGCGGCACGGCAAGCCUGAUGGGAAAGCCCGCGGCACAACCGCGGG